GGGAGCUGCUGUGUUUCGGGUCAUCUAAAUGUGACCGGGCUGAGAGACGCCCUGUGUCUCCCAAGUGUGCCUGUGAGGGGCUUCCAGGAGGGUUUGUGCUCUAACCACAGAAGCUGAGUUGAGAAGAUUCUGCCCUUGGGAGGACAGCACACAGCAAUCAGUUCUCUCCUUUGAUCACGUGGGUCCCAGGGACUGAAAUCAGGCUAUCAGGUUUAGUGCCUUGCUGCUAGGCAGUCCCCAAAGGCUCCCCGGGGCUGGACUUGAAAGAUCCUGGCUUCAAUUAUCAAUCAGACACCAAGUCAUCCUCCCCUGAAGAUGCCCCAGCAUCCAACCUUGGGAAACAACAUUCUAGGAAAAGCGGAUUUGAAGACACAAGAGAUUCCUUCAAGUUAAAAAUAAAAGGUUCCCGCUCCACCAUGCCAGUUGAGGGGAGGACAAAGACCUGGGCUGGGCCCUUCACAGUCCCAUGAGGGAGAGGAGCUCAAACGCCUGGCCACCUAGAGACCCAGGAAUCCACCAGGAGCUACAGAUGAAGACAAAUAGGUGACUACGGACUGGAUUAAAAGUCCCUGUACCCUCCAAUGUGGGCACAGGGCUGCAAGGAACUGCACUGUCCUCUGUUUCUCAGAAAGCCAGUGUGGCUUUGGCCUUGGGUCCCACCUUGUUGAGCAGAUGAAGGAUCCCUCUGGAGAGUGCAUAGGCAUCUCCUUUCCUAAUUUCCCUAAGACUUUUGCAGUUCCUUGACAUCAAGUCCGUGGUCUACACUGAGUGGCCUCCAGU
Molecule: long non-coding RNA, 780 nt
Organism: Myodes glareolus (Bank vole)
Lineage: Eukaryota; Metazoa; Chordata; Mammalia; Rodentia; Cricetidae
Source: RefSeq, a predicted model, not a curated record